UAACUUACCUGGCGGGGGAGAUUCCAUCUUCAGGAACGUGGUUCUCCCAGGCUGAUGUUCCUCGGUGGAGACAACUCCUGCAAAAUCCCCAAAUAUGGGAAUCUCGACUGCUGGUAGUGGGGCACUGCAUUUUUAUGGGGCAGUG
This is a small nuclear RNA of 145 nucleotides. Its record names the gene U1. It matches the Rfam family "U1 spliceosomal RNA". Rfam says of the family: U1 is a small nuclear RNA (snRNA) component of the spliceosome (involved in pre-mRNA splicing). Its 5' end forms complementary base pairs with the 5' splice junction, thus defining the 5' donor site of an intron. The record is from Ensembl.